UACGUAGGUGGCAAGCGUUGUCCGGAUUUAUUGGGUUUAAAGGGUGCGUAGGCGGUUUUUUAAGUCAGUGCUGAAAUACUCCAGCUUAACUGGAGGGGUGGCAUUGAUACUGGAAGACUUGAGUACAGAUGAGGUAGGCGGAAUUGACGGUGUAGCGGUGAAAUGCAUAGAUAUCGUCAAGAACACCGAUAGCGAAGGCAGCUUACUGGGCUGUAACUGACGCUGAUGCACGAAAGUGUGGGGAUCAAACAGGA
Molecule: ribosomal RNA, 254 nt
Filed under: uncultured bacterium
Lineage: Bacteria
Description: partial 16S ribosomal RNA
Rfam family: Bacterial small subunit ribosomal RNA
Source: RNAcentral